CAGCAGUCGCCGCGGGAAUACGUAGGUGGCAAGCGUUGUCCGGAAUUAUUGGGCGUAAAGGGCUCGCAGGCGGUUUCUUAAGUCUGAUGUGAAAGCCCCCGGCUCAACCGGGGAGGGUCAUUGGAAACUGGGAAACUUGAGUGCAGAAGAGGAGAGUGGAAUUCCACGUGUAGCGGUGAAAUGCGUAGAUACAUGGAGGAACACCGGUGGCGAAAGCGGCUCUCUGGUCUGUCACUGACGCUGAGGCUCGAAAGCGUGGGUAGCGAACAGAAUUAGAUACCCCUGUAGUCCCUGUCUCUUAUAA
Molecule: ribosomal RNA, 304 nt
Filed under: uncultured bacterium
Lineage: Bacteria
Description: partial 16S ribosomal RNA
Rfam family: Bacterial small subunit ribosomal RNA
Source: RNAcentral